Molecule: transfer RNA, 67 nt
Filed under: Chrysomeloidea sp. 4 KM-2017
Lineage: Eukaryota; Metazoa; Arthropoda; Insecta; Coleoptera
Description: tRNA-Leu
Rfam family: tRNA
About the family: Transfer RNA (tRNA) molecules are approximately 80 nucleotides in length. Their secondary structure includes four short double-helical elements and three loops (D, anti-codon, and T loops).
Source: RNAcentral
GUUAUUUUGGCAGAAUUUAAGUGCGAUUGAUUUAGAAUCUUUAUAUAUAGUUAUUCUAUAAAUAACA